CAAGAAGCCGAAAGGCUACUUAAAACCAUCGCGAACUUAUCCAAGUUGCUUCGGCGGCGCGGCUCCCCUCACGGGGGGACCGCAGCCCCCCGCCUCUCAGGAGGUAAGGGGCAGCCGCCGGAGGUACGAAACUCUGUAUUAUAGUGGUAUCUCUGAGUAUAAAACAAAUAAGUUUA
RNAcentral lists this unclassified non-coding RNA (176 nucleotides) under soil metagenome. RNAcentral describes it as "partial internal transcribed spacer 1". The record is from RNAcentral.